RNAcentral lists this ribosomal RNA (252 nucleotides) under uncultured bacterium. RNAcentral's name for it is "partial 16S ribosomal RNA". It matches the Rfam family "Bacterial small subunit ribosomal RNA", at positions 524 to 776 of the family's 1533-position model. The record is from RNAcentral.
UACGGGGGGAGCAAGCGUUGUUCGGAUUUACUGGGCGUAAAGGGCGCGUAGGCGGCGUGACAAGUCACUUGUGAAAUCUCCGGGCUUAACUCGGAACGGUCAAGUGAUACUGUCGUGCUAGAGUACAGAAGGGCAACUGGAAUUCUCGGUGUAGCGGUGAAAUGCGUAGAUAUCGAGAGGAACACCUGCGGCGAAGGCGGGUUGCUGGGCUGAUACUGACGCUGAGGCGCGAAAGCUAGGGGAGCGAACGGG